UCAGUAACGGCGAGUGAAGCGGCAAUAGCUCAAAUUUGAAAGCUGGCGCCUUCGGCGUCCGCGUUGUAAUUUGUAGAGGAUGCUUCGGCGAGGACUCCUGCCUAAGUCCCCUGGAACGGGGCGUCACAGAGGGUGAGAAUCCCGUACGUGGCGGGCGGUCCGAGCCAUGUGAAGCUCCUUCGACGAGUCGAGUUGUUUGGGAAUGCAGCUCUAAAUGGGAGGUAAAUUUCUUCUAAAGCUAAAUAUUGGCCAGAGACCGAUAGCGCACAAGUAGAGUGAUCGAAAGAUGAAAAGCACUUUGGAAAGAGAGUUAAAAAGUACGUGAAAUUGUUGAAAGGGAAGCGCUUGCAACCAGACUCGCUCGCAGUUGCUCAGCCGGCCUCUUGGCCGGUGUACUCUUCUGCGAUCGGGCCAGCAUCAGUUCGGGCGGCCGGAUAAAGGCAUCGGGAAUGUAGCACCCUUCGGGGUGUGUUAUAGCCCGGCGCGGAAUGCGGCCAGCCUGGACUGAGGAUCUCGCU
Molecule: ribosomal RNA, 518 nt
Filed under: Dothideomycetes sp. genotype 486
Lineage: Eukaryota; Fungi; Ascomycota; Dothideomycetes
Description: eukaryotic LSU rRNA
Rfam family: Eukaryotic large subunit ribosomal RNA
Source: RNAcentral